UUCUUUGCCUCUUUUCAGCAGAAAUUCUUCUGAUUCACCUCUUUUCUGCCAAAUGUUUAGCUUUUUCACCUCUUAUCAGCACAAUUCUAAGCAGCUUCUGCUAAUUUCACCACAAUUGUCACUCUCUCCACCUCUUCUUUGUGUGAAUGAGUUUGGUGCAGUGAGGUGAAUUGCUGCCUUUAGACCAGAAGGGCCAGGUUCGAAUCCUGCUCUGGGCAAUGUUUUUUUUUUUUUUUCAACUUUUUCAGCUUUUUUCAGCAGACAUCUUCAGCAUUAAGGCAUCCACACAGCAUUUUCGCAGGAAAUGCAAAUUUUUCUAGUUCUUUAUCCUUUAUUAUUCUUCAAGUUGCCACUUUCUUUGCCGCUUAACUACUCCCUCAGUUUUCAGCCGUUUUUCACCAUUCAAACUCUAAACUGUUCAGCUCUUUCUCCUGAUGCCUGCUAUGACUUUUGGUAGUCAUAACUUUUAUACUUUUUCAGAUAUUAAGCUUUUUAUGUCAUUUUUUGGCCCAUUUUGCUGAAUAGGACCACAUUAUCAGUGUGAUCACAAGUUUUGUUUGCUUGGCUAAGCCAUGUUUUAGCUCAGUGAGAUAAGCAGCCGUUCUCAGAGUAGGAGGCCCGGGUUCAAAUCCAGGUUGUGGCAACAUUUCUUUCACUUAACAGUUAAACUUUUUUAACUCUUUUCAACACAAAUUUCAGCUUUUUCACCGCUUAUCAGCACAGUUUUCAGUUUUUUCUGCUGUUUUCAGCACAAAUCCAAGCUUUUUAAGCUGUUUUCAGCAAAAAACCUCUUUUCAGCAGAUUUCUGCUCAUUCAACUCUUUUCAGCAGAAAUUCUGCUCAUUCAACUCUUUUCAGCAGAAAUUCUUCUUAUUCACCUCUUAUCAGCACAAUUCUCAGCCUCUUCUGCUCAUUUCAGCACAAUUAUCAGUCUCUCCACCUCUUCUUUGUCAGAAAGAUGUUGUCGCAGUGAGAUGAGAACCUGCUUUGAGUACCAGAAGGGCCAGGUUUGAAUCCUGCUCAGAGCAACAUUUUUUGCUUUUUUUUUUUCAAUUUUUUCAGCUUUUUUCAGCAGAUAUCUUCAGCGUUAAGGCAUCCACACAGCAUUUUCGCAGGAAAUGCAAAUUUUUCUAGUUGACCUUUGCUUCACAGUAAAUAAAUGCACUGUUAUUAAACCAGUUCUAACUACUAACUACUUUAGCUAUCUUUGUUUCCUAAAAUAGACAGAGUCACAAUUUAUAUUGAUCCAAACUUAUUUAAACAAAGGUCUGAGACAAAUUAAAAACUAGAUGUUGCAGUACUUGGCUCAUUCUUCUUCUCCUUAGUGGGCCUCACCACCACUGGUGCAGGGCCAUUAGCUUGCAGCUACUUUUUCAAAAUUUGAAGCAGAGCAUCUUAGCAGCUGACAUUUAAGAUUACCUUUGGACAAAAUAAUGCAAAUGCUUACACACUGCCAUAGAGCUGCCUGACCUGACUGACAAAA
This is a long non-coding RNA of Astatotilapia calliptera (eastern happy), 1482 nucleotides long. Lineage: Eukaryota; Metazoa; Chordata; Actinopteri; Cichliformes; Cichlidae. The record is from Ensembl.